RNAcentral lists this ribosomal RNA (253 nucleotides) under uncultured bacterium. RNAcentral's name for it is "partial 16S ribosomal RNA". It matches the Rfam family "Bacterial small subunit ribosomal RNA", at positions 524 to 776 of the family's 1533-position model. The record is from RNAcentral.
UACGUAGGGUGCGAGCGUUAAUCGGAAUUACUGGGCGUAAAGCGUGCGCAGGCGGUUUUGUAAGCCAGAUGUGAAAUCCCCGGGCUUAACCUGGGAAUGGCAUUUGGGACUGCAAGGCUGGAGUGCGGCAGAGGAGACUGGAAUUCCUGGUGUAGCAGUGAAAUGCGUAGAGAUCAUGAGGAAGACCAGUGGCGAAGGCGGGUCUCUGGACAGUUCCUGACACUGAGACACGAAGGCCAGGGGAGCAAACGGG